CUCUGAAACAACACGCAAGGAAGAACUCCAAGAAAACACGAGCGGCAACUGAUAGGCGGUCAUAAAAUGGCAUUAUUUCUGACAACCGGUAAAUGCUACUACUGCGAAUGUUGAAGUUGCUUAUUGAAGGGAAAGGAGAAAUGAGGAGUUCCUGGUCCUGUUUUUAGCUUCUACCUAAUAAAUGGGACUUGGGCAGAGAUGACAGAUUUAAGUCAGGAAUCAAAAGGCCAUCUAUGAGAAGCUGUUUCUGUGGGAGGGAGAGAGUGAAUCAUGUGUGUGCGGAGCCAGAUAGAACUGUCUUUAGGUUUUCUCCUCAUGUCCAAAAGACAGGGAGAAGGAGAGGUGGGAGAGAAAAAUCAAAGAACACUAGAGCUGGAAGGAAAGUUUGAAACCAUCCAGUACAACAAAUGAAAGAACUGAAGCCCAGAAAGGUCUCACAAAUCAGCAGUCAGAACAGAAAAUGGGAAGAAAAACGGAGAUGGAAG
Dromiciops gliroides (monito del monte) is the source of this 485-nucleotide long non-coding RNA. RefSeq lists it as uncharacterized. The transcript is spliced from 5 exons. The record is from RefSeq and is a predicted model, not a curated record. NCBI's taxonomy places the organism in Eukaryota, Metazoa, Chordata, Mammalia, Microbiotheria, Microbiotheriidae.